CCUACGGGAGGCUGCAGUGAGGAAUAUUGGUCAAUGGACGAGAGUCUGAACCAGCCAAGUAGCGUGAAGGAUGACUGCCCUAUGGGUUGUAAACUUCUGUUAUAGGGGAAUAAAACAGGGUAGGCAUACCCUCUUGUAUGUACCAUAUGAAUAAGGAUCGGCUAACUCCGUGCCAUCAGCCGGGGUAAUACGGAGGAUCCGAGCGUUAUCCGGAUUUGUUGGGUUUCAAGGGGGCGUAGGGGGAUUGUUUAGUCAGUUUUGAAAGUUUGCGGCUCAACCGUAAAAUUGCAGUUGAAACUGGCAGUCUUGAGUACAGUAGAGGUGGGCGGAAUUCGUGGUGUAGCGGUGAAAUGCUUAGAUCUCACGAAGAACUCCGAUUGCGAAGGCAGCUCACUGGACUGCAACUGACACUGAUGCUCGAAAGUGUGGGUAUCAAACAGGCUUAGAUACCCCAGUAGUC
RNAcentral lists this ribosomal RNA (460 nucleotides) under uncultured bacterium. RNAcentral describes it as "partial 16S ribosomal RNA". It matches the Rfam family "Bacterial small subunit ribosomal RNA", at positions 338 to 795 of the family's 1533-position model. The record is from RNAcentral.